AACGACUCUCGGCAACGGAUAUCUCGGCUCUCGCAUCGAUGAAGAACGUAGCGAAAUGCGAUACUUGGUGUGAAUUGCAGAAUCCCGCGAACCAUCGAGUCUUUGAACGCAAGUUGCGCCCGAAGCCAUCAGGCCGAGGGCACGUCUGGCUGGGCGUCGCACGAU
This 165-nucleotide ribosomal RNA is filed under the name Prioria balsamifera (agba). RNAcentral's name for it is "5.8S ribosomal RNA". It matches the Rfam family "5.8S ribosomal RNA". Rfam says of the family: 5.8S ribosomal RNA (5.8S rRNA) is a component of the large subunit of the eukaryotic ribosome. It is transcribed by RNA polymerase I as part of the 45S precursor that also contains 18S and 28S rRNA. Lineage: Eukaryota; Viridiplantae; Streptophyta; Magnoliopsida; Fabales; Fabaceae. The record is from RNAcentral.